RNAcentral lists this unclassified non-coding RNA (1251 nucleotides) under Hevea brasiliensis (rubber tree). The record is from RNAcentral. Lineage: Eukaryota; Viridiplantae; Streptophyta; Magnoliopsida; Malpighiales; Euphorbiaceae.
UGCUUCCUACAUUUCAACAUGGUCCCAGUCAAUUGAUCUGUCUUCAAAGCUCUCUGAUUGGUGAAGUCUAUUUCGACCCAAUCUGCUCAUCAUGGCAAGACCUUCUACCAUCUUGUAAAGAGCUGACCACCAGCCCUCUCUGGAAAUUUGGUAUUGAUUUAAUGAUUCAUCAAUUACUUUGUCAUGCUUCCCUUCCAACACUCCUUGCAAAGUUACCACUGCAUCCUUUGUUUUCUUCAGGAUACUGUCCUCAUCCGCAACUUCCAACCGCUGAAGGUCAUUAUGUGAUGAAGUCAGGCUAACAGCAAGGGCAAACUGUGCAGCAGCAGCCCAACGAGAAGAGGCCAGCCAUUUCCUCUGCCCAUCUAACUGUUUGUUCUCUUGUGUUCUAAACUUACUCUCUCCUUCCCCACCUAGUACUAAACUGCGCAAGUACUGAGCAUUUGCAGCCCCUGUACUUUGAACCAUCUUAGAGAAAGCACUAUCUUCAUUUGAUAACAGUUCCUCUGGUGUAUCAUAUUCCAGAACCUGGCCAGAAUCAAGAAGAAGGAUCCGGUCACAAUCAAUGAUUGUAUUAAGUCGAUGAGCAAUGAUUAGCAUUGUACAUGAUUUGAAUUCUUCUCGAAUGGUUUUCUGAAUAAGAGCAUCAGUUCUCACAUCAACAGCAGCAGUAGCUUCAUCAAGAACAAGUAUCUUUGAUCUCCGCAACAAUGCUCGAGCAAGACUCAAAAGUUGUCUCUGUCCAACACUGAAAUUCUCCCCAGCUUCCGAAACCUCAGCAUUCAAACCUAAAGAAUUCCUUCUAAUAACAUCCUUCAGGUGUGCUCUCUCCAAAGCCUCCCAAAGAUCAGCAUCAUUGUGUUCAUUGAAAGGAUCAAGAUUAAACCUCACAGUUCCUGAAAAAAGAACUGGCGAUUGUGGUAUAAUUCCAAGUACUUUGCGAAGAUCCAUCAAUCCAAACUUUGCAGUAUCACAACCAUCAAUCAAGAUUCUUCCUCUUUCCAGUUCCACAAUUCGAAAUAAAGCAUUGAGCAUGCUAGAUUUGCCUGCUCCAGUCCUUCCAACUAUCCCAACUUUGUCACUUGGAGAAACCAUAAAGGACAGUCCAUGUAAGACAGGUGGAAGUUCAGGUCUGUAACGCAGGACAACACCCUCAAACUUGAUUGAUCCUGAUGAAGGCCAACCUGGAGGGGGGCGGUUGCCCUCAAUAAUUGGAGGGGCCUCUGAUGGCAAAUCUAUAUAUGUGCCAAU